UGGGGGAUCGAUCGAACAAGGCAGGGGAGGGGGAAACCCUAGCUCAAGCAAAUCAAGCAAUUGAAUCCAAAUUCUCAAGCUAAUCCAGUGCAUGAGUCAUUAAAUUCGAAUAGUUAACCCCAAUUUCUUAAGUGGCGUGAAGGAAGAAGGUACGAGCACUAAGAAAACGGAAGGCACGCAAGACCGAGGUAAAUCCUCAAUUUAGGCGACUCGGCGAAUUGGAGCGAGCACGUGUUCUUCAUAUGUGAUGCCAAGCGCUUCCGCUAGUUAAUACUAAUGUUUUGGGUCAAAAUAUCUUUUUGUACAAUUUGUUGGUAGACACACUUUUUAGCAUUCGAUGUUUUGGUUUUAGUAGUAUCUUGUAGAAUGGUAUUUGUCUUGAUUAUGGUUCAAACAGGAGUAUACUCGUUUUACGGACGGGUCAUGCCCAAAUUUUGUAAAAUUAUGCAUUAAUGAUAUUAGUACAUUUAAAGGUUUAUGCUUC
Long non-coding RNA from Helianthus annuus (common sunflower), 484 nucleotides. RefSeq lists it as uncharacterized. The record is from RefSeq and is a predicted model, not a curated record. NCBI's taxonomy places the organism in Eukaryota, Viridiplantae, Streptophyta, Magnoliopsida, Asterales, Asteraceae. The transcript is spliced from 3 exons.